Molecule: ribosomal RNA, 514 nt
Filed under: uncultured Acidobacteriota bacterium
Lineage: Bacteria; Pseudomonadati; Acidobacteriota
Description: bacterial SSU rRNA
Rfam family: Bacterial small subunit ribosomal RNA
Source: RNAcentral
GCGCAAUGGACGAAAGUCUGACGCAGCAACGCCGCGUGAGGGAUGAAGGCCUUCGGGUUGUAAACUUCUUUUCUCAGGGAAGAUAAUGACGGUACCUGAGGAAUAAGCCACGGCUAACUACGUGCCAGCAGCCGCGGUAAUACGUAGGUGGCAAGCGUUGUCCGGAUUUACUGGGCGUAAAGAGCGCGCAGGCGGUCGUUCAAGUCGAGUGUGAAAGCCCCCGGCUCAACUGGGGAGGGUCACUCGAUACUGAUCGACUCGAAGGCGGGAGAGGGAAGCGGAAUUCCCGGUGUAGUGGUGAAAUGCGUAGAUAUCGGGAGGAACACCAGUGGCGAAGGCGGCUUCCUGGCCCGUUCUUGACGCUGAGGCGCGAAAGCUAGGGGAGCGAACGGGAUUAGAUACCCCGGUAGUCCUAGCCGUAAACGAUGGACACUAGGUGUUGGUGGUAUCAACCCCGCCAGUGCCGAAGCUAACGCAUUAAGUGUCCCGCCUGGGGAGUACGGCCGCAAGGCUA